RNAcentral lists this transfer RNA (88 nucleotides) under Erysiphe necator (grape powdery mildew). It matches the Rfam family "tRNA". From Rfam's summary of the family: Transfer RNA (tRNA) molecules are approximately 80 nucleotides in length. Their secondary structure includes four short double-helical elements and three loops (D, anti-codon, and T loops). Lineage: Eukaryota; Fungi; Ascomycota; Leotiomycetes; Helotiales; Erysiphaceae. The record is from Rfam by way of RNAcentral.
GGCCUGAUAGUUCAGUGGUAGAAUUCUUGCUUUGGGUUUACUAAAUCUCAAUUGUAAGAGGUCUCCGGUUCGAUCCCGGAUUAGGCCC